CCCUUAGAUGUUCUGGGCCGCACGCGCGCUACACUGACGAAUGCAACGAGCUUAUAACCUUGGCCGAAAGGUCUGGGUAAUCUCCAAAUUUCGUCGUGAUGGGGAUAGAUUAUUGCAAUUAUUAAUCUUCAACGAGGAAUGCCUAGUAAGCGCAAGCCAUCAGCUUGCGUUGAUUACGUCCCUGCCCUUUGUACACACCGCCCGUCGCUCCUACCGAUUGAAUGGUCCGGUGAAGCGUUCGGACCGUGGCCUUUGGACGGUUCGCCGUCUGUUGGCUGCGGGAAGUUCGUUAAACCUUAUCAUUUAGAGGAAGGAGAANUCGUANCA
This 327-nucleotide ribosomal RNA is filed under the name uncultured eukaryote. RNAcentral's name for it is "partial 18S ribosomal RNA". It matches the Rfam family "Eukaryotic small subunit ribosomal RNA", at positions 1470 to 1796 of the family's 1831-position model. The record is from RNAcentral.